UCCCAGGUGAGCUUUUAGCUUUUGAAGUU
Molecule: non-coding RNA, 29 nt
Filed under: Rattus norvegicus (Norway rat)
Lineage: Eukaryota; Metazoa; Chordata; Mammalia; Rodentia; Muridae
Source: RNAcentral